Sipha flava (yellow sugarcane aphid) is the source of this 1281-nucleotide long non-coding RNA. RefSeq lists it as uncharacterized. The transcript has 5 exons. The record is from RefSeq and is a predicted model, not a curated record. Lineage: Eukaryota; Metazoa; Arthropoda; Insecta; Hemiptera; Aphididae.
UACUACGUUUUUCACACGAAUCCAUUAAAACGCAGAAAUCGAUCUGGAGCUAUAAAUUAAAUACAUCUUCGGCUCAUGCACGAACGUUAAUAAUAAAUAUAAAUAACUGGAUACAAAUCGAUAGGCCUAGUAUAUUUGUAGAUCUGUUCAGUACAUUAUUUUACCCGUCGAAUUUGGUGAAGUCAUUGGGUGUCUUUUUCUGACACGUGUACCAGGACUUGGCAAGCAUUUUAUUGAUGUGACAUUGAUCGAUACCGUUCAUUUGGAAUUCGACGCAAGAACGGAAUCACUGGGCCCAACAUGACGUCCUGCCCAACAAUGGUCCCCAGCACCAUGUGUUUUCGACUCCACCGACCGCAUCCAAAGAGCGUGUGCUCCGAGCAAUCACCAGCGUCAUCACAGGACCAACACUCUGGGUUUGUCGCUCAGACAAAUCUGUACGGAUCCUUGUGAGAUCGACUCUCACACAUUCUCACACAUUUUGUAUGAGCAGCCUCGUCCACGCACCCUUGGUUGUUCCGGCACACCAUUCCUGCUGCCACCGGUCCCACGAUCCCGUGUCCACCCGCGUGCCUUGCAUCUUCCACGCUGCUUUUAAAAAACCGUUUGAACCGACCUCUCGCCAUCAAGUGUGCAGGUUAGAUAAUCCUCAGCUAACCUAACCUAACCUACUGACAACCAAUGUGGAUACCGUCCUGGUACGCACUGGUGACUCUCAACGCUGAUGCUGGCUGUGGACUGGACAGUAGCUUUAUAUGAUCAUGAAAAACCAGCGAGGCACUACACACGGGAGCCGCAUCCUCCAAGAUCUGUACAUUGCUGAAGUAUGUGCUGACCGUACUACGCAUGAUGGUGCAGCGGUAGUAUACCACAUAAACUGUGAAUUCUCUGCAAUCCAGUAUUGGGGUGUUAAAACAAUCAUGUUCGAUACACGCUUCAGCGUGCCAGAAAGAAUUUUUGUUCGUGCGCGACGGCGGUGGUGGACGACUAACAGGAAAACGUUGAAAAUUUAAAUAUAGUCCUACGAAUCAUUUCCUUAAUAUAACGAAUGACUCAAAUCCCAUAUGGAAGGCCUACUCGUAUUUUUUUUUUAUUUAAAUAUGAUACAUAUAAUAAGUGUUACACAAUGUAAAAAUAUAUGCAUUUCUUGUAUAGCGUAACAUAAAUUCUACAUGAUGACUACGUCUGACAGAAAUAUUAGCGUGUAAGUGUGUGUGUGUGAGAGUGUGUGUUAUAUUUCGAUUAAGUUAGUCAUAGCAUGUUUUGUAUUAUUAAGUAUAC